GUUAGGCAUGGUGGCAUAAGCCUGUACUCCCAGUUACUUGGGAGGCUGAGACAAGAGGAUUGCUUGAGCCUAGAAAUUCAAGUCUAGCCUGAGCAACAUAGAGAGACCCCAUCUCAA
Molecule: small RNA, 117 nt
Filed under: Marmota monax (woodchuck)
Lineage: Eukaryota; Metazoa; Chordata; Mammalia; Rodentia; Sciuridae
Source: RNAcentral